UGCCUUGAAGAUCGGAGUGCUUGCACUCUGUGAAACAAGAUACAGGCUAGCGGCGGACGGGUGAGUAACACGUGGGUAACCUGCCCAAGAGAUCGGGAUAACACCUGGAAACAGAUGCUAAUACCGGAUAACAACAGAUGAUGCCUAUCAACUGUUUAAAAGAUGGUUCUGCUAUCACUCUUGGAUGGACCUGCGGUGCAUUAGCUAGUUGGUAGGGUAACGGCCUACCAAGGCGAUGAUGCAUAGCCGAGUUGAGAGACUGAUCGGCCACAUUGGGGCUGAGACACGGCCCAAACUCCUACGGGAGGCAGCAGUAGGGAAUCUUCCACAAUGGACGCAAGUCUGAUGGAGCAACGCCGCGUGAGUGAAGAAGGGUUUCGGCUCGUAAAGCUCUGUUGUUCGGUGAAGAAGGACAGGGGUAGUAACUGACCUUUGUUUGACGGUAAU
RNAcentral lists this ribosomal RNA (447 nucleotides) under uncultured Lactobacillus sp. Its description in RNAcentral is "bacterial SSU rRNA". It matches the Rfam family "Bacterial small subunit ribosomal RNA", at positions 56 to 479 of the family's 1533-position model. Lineage: Bacteria; Bacillati; Bacillota; Bacilli; Lactobacillales; Lactobacillaceae. The record is from RNAcentral.